CUGGCAGCAUCAUUUGGAAUAAAUGAAACUACCUUCGACAGGCUUGUGAAUCAACAACGCGAAUCGGUUAUCUUAGAAUGCACCUCCUGCGCAGAGGAAGAAUGGAGGAUAAUGGAGGAAGAGAUUGAGAGGGAAAGAGAGGAGGCAAGGCAGAGGGAAGAGGAGGCAAGGAAGAGGGAUGAAGAGAGGAAAAGACAGGAAGAGGAAGCUGAGACGAGAGAAGAGGAGGAGGCAGCUAGGGAGAGAGCAGAGGAGGAAAGGAAGAAGAGAGAGCAAGAAGAAGAGGAAGAGGCGGCACGGAGAAAGAGAGAGGAAGAGGCAGCACGAGAAAGGAGGGAACAAGAGGAAAGAGAACAAGAAGCAGCACAGAUGGAAGAGAAAGAAAGGGAAGCAGCUAAGCGAGAGGAAGAAGAAGCAGCACAAAGAAGACAAGAAGAAGCUGGCCAGGGAGAAGGAGGGCGCCCACACGAAGGGGGCAGGGAAGCACGGCCGCCGGAGGAAGACGGAAGAGGAGGAGUAGGAGCCAGGCAGGAGGAGGAAACUGCAAAGCAACAAGAAAAAGAAAUGGGACAAGAGGAGGAGCAGGGCAAUGGCCAAGGAUGGGGAAGAAGAAUCCUUAAAAAUGCUUCUUGACUGUGUCUAGUAAUGCUCAAAAGUAGACGUUUCCAGUGAGCAUAAAGCUGAAUAAGCAGUUUUGUUUCAGUCUUUGCUUUAUUUUGUGUUUGCUUGUGAAAUACCUUCAGUUGAGAGCUCCAUUAGCGCAUGGUGAAGUCCUUUAAAAGCCAGCUUAUUGAAUUCCUACGAAUGAAUGACUCCAAUUAAUUCCUGCGAUUGAUCUAUCUUAGAACUGCUUGAGCAAGAGCCAAAACUCAGCCAGGUUUUCUCACAUCAUGGACAGGAAUCCUAAACUCGAGCAAUAAAGGAGUUUUCCAUACCUACUUUUCUUACUUUUUGAUGGAUUGCAAGAGAGGAAUAUGUCUCACAAUGAACAAUGGACGACGUAAACGGGUCCUCAAAUAGCCCAAAAAGAUGAAAAAAAAAAAAAAGGACAACGCUUGAAUACCCCCACAGAAAGCAUUUUCAAGCUACAAUAGCACGCAGAAAUGAUUUUGUAAACAUUCUCAGACUAUUAAUACUCAAUUAGAUAUCAGGGACGACCUCUGGGUUCAACGGCAGCUCAAAAAGCUAGGAAACUACUAUCCAUAUCUUACAACUGUAACGGAACACCUUCAUACGUAUCAAAUUUAGUAUCAAAUUUGCAAAAGAAGAGGGAGAAAGGGGGUGAGGAAAUCUGGAAAAUCUCGAAAGCUUUGUAAAGAGAAUAAACACCACGUAUUCAAAGGCCAGAAUGAGGAAAGGACUGUAUAAAGUCAAAUGUAAGAAUUGUAAAAUCUAUGUUUCAGUCGAGCCUGACAAGUCAGAGACAUACGAAACAACCACCGUAAUGUCAUCAAGUUUUCCACCAUAAUAAGAGAAUCCAAUCUCUUGUGCUGCAGUAGAAAAUGGAGUUUGCCUUUCCCUGUCCUGCGCUCGGUGGCGCGCCAAAGCUGCAACUUUUUGUGCUGUCAACUCAGGGGUGAAACCCGAUGUCACUGCUGCACCAACAAUUGUAGUUAUUUCACGUUUAUACAAGUUAUCAAAUAGCCCAUCUGUUCCGGCAACAAUGACAUCUCCCGGUAAAACUGAAAUCUUGAAAACCUGGCCAAAAUAUUUAAAUCUCAUUUAGGAGGACUCCUGUCGGUGAAACACUAUUAGCGUGAACAAUUGAGAUGAUAUUCUUCUCGAGACAUUCUUGAUUAUAAAAGCACCAUGUAUACAAAUUCACUUGCACAAAAGAUCAGUAAGGAGUGUUCCACUAAAUUACCUGACCGGAACUUGGAAGGUCACCCUUAUUUCCUCUUUCCAGUUGAUAGGGAAAAUUGAAUCCAUGCUGCUGGACUGGAGACUCAAAGGUGGUGCUGCCAUCUCUGACCACAAUAAAUCCACUGUCUCCAAGAUUUAUGGCAUGCAGAAACUGUGGAAGAGAACAAAUAUGCACAGAUGACCAUCAGAGGCAUCAAAACUCUUCUCAAGUUCAAAGAGGGAAAAAAUUUGAAGUCUAUGCAACCUCCAGUACAACAAACUAGUGUCUUAAAGAAUCAUUGGCUUUUUCAUGAUCGCUUUAGGCUGUAAUGUGACAGCCAAACCAAUCCAAUAUGCAAGAGUAGGUCUGAAGAAUUGAACAAACACUAAUCUACCAAAAGGCAUCCAAAGAAAGAAUGAAGAAAAUCAGGAGAUUAAGUGUAGUUAGGCAAACUAAUGGCACAGUGUUCUUUCACUUUUACUCAAGUACAAUAGCAUAACCUUCGCCUUUACAGUUAUUUUCUGCAACCUCCAAUAUUCUAGUGGUCCUCAGAGAGAAUCUCCUUUCUACUCAGAUAUGAGGUUUGGUCUCUUGCAGCAAAAAGUACCAGUGCCAAACCGUCAUCGCCUCCAUCUUAUAGGAAAGAUAAAACAGAAUUUCCCAUCUUUGCCUCCUCUAUGUGCAUGGCUCUGUGCAUGUCUUUUACAAAUAUAACACGAGUCGUCAUCCAUAAACACCACAUAAAUGUACUUCACGGUUUUACGCUUUCUACACUUAGAACAGGAAAAAAAAACACACCAAGAAUGACAUAUUCUGCCUAAAUUUGCCAAAACAUCAGGAUAAUUCCCCUCUAAUGAACCCCAACAAAUACAUUCAUCUACAAAUCACCAAUCAAAAGUGGUCACAUCCAAGUUGAAAAUGUUACUACAGCCAUUUUGUUGCAUGCAAGUUGGAGCAAUAUUUUCAAAAGACGUAGUACAAGAAGAAUAUGUGUGCAUGGACAAAUAUUUUUGGUAUGAAGUUAGUAAGACCUGGUCUUUUAGCACAAUGAUGCAGGCUGUUGAGGAACCCACAGCAUUUGUUUCCGAGUGUGCUUUCUCCAAUACGCGAGCGGGAUCAAUAAACUCCCCGGGCUCAUUUUUAAUAGCAUCCAUCGAGUUAGACAUGAGUUCACAAGCAUAUUCUCCAGCAUUAAUCCCAACCUCCGCCCAACCACCAACUCCAUCUGCCACACCAAUUGCUUGCUCAUCCGAACAGAUGAAAUGAGCAUCCUCUCCACCUGUUUUUUCUUUAUCAGGAUGGGGUAGGUAGCAUGAUCCAGAGUGUAGCUUCAGUGUUCUGUUGCUUAGAGAUCUUCUGGAUUCAGCAGUAGUAGCCAACCAACAUUAAGGAAAAUCACAAUACUAUAUCGCCAAACUUAUUAAUGCUCAAUGCGACUCCCACAAACAUAGAACUGUGCAUCUCUAAUAAACUUAAAUUGAAAAACCCAUUCAGUAGAAAAUUGAAGCAGGAAAUGAUCAUCUUUGACGCAACGACUCACUGCUAAGAUUUAUUUACCUAGUAAGUAAAAAGACAAAAUUCAAGCAAUACCUUGUUUUGAUUAAAAAACGUAAAUAUUUGAUACUCAAACCAGAAUAACGAAUCUCUACAAUAGCCACAAUAUGUGAAUAUGCAAAUCUUUGACUUUUCAACACCAUGACGAAAGACAAUGUUCUUUAGCAAUCAGAGAGAAAGUUUCCCUUUAAAACACGCUAAAAAUCAGAAACCAUACAAAAGAGGAGAAAAAUCCAUUCCAUUUUGAGAAACGAUGGACACCCAAGUUCGACAACUAUGUCUUUUCACAAGUCACCACUUUCAUCGUCCUUGAAUUUCCAUGAGUUAUAUGAGUUGGAAGAAGCAUAAAUAUAAAAAAUCCUGUAAACACUGAGUCGAGGAUCACAUUAUUUUUUUAUUAAGUUCCGGCUUGCUGACAAGCUAAGCUCAACUAAAGAAUUCUCUGUCUGACAGACAAACUGCUAAUGUUGAAGGGUCACCAAAUACGAUCUUGACUGUUGGAAUAUAGGACCUGGAUUAUUGUUGAAUAUCCAAACUAAUUUUAAGGUCAAUACAUCGGGACCAUACACGACUGGCCAUCUGGUUUUAUUUAAUACAACACCUUGGCUAAAUUUGAAGUUAAAUGAACGCACCAAAAAAUCUUCAGGGAACAACUACCUUCUGGAUUAACAAAUGUAUUUAACUAUAAUCAAUUUUGAACCAUUGCACAUAAUAAAGAAACUGCAUACAAGAAAAUUUUUUUGUUUCUAAAUUAACAAAUAGAUGGAAACAACUUGAUAAGACAACACAAAAGGUUAGAGCAUUUACUGGUCUGGUGGUAUGGCAAGACUUGAUAGCUGUUCGUCGAAUGAGGUUCCGUUGCAGAGUACAUCAGAUGCAGCCCCAGUCGAACAACAUGGUGAUGAUGAGGAACUGCAGCUUCUAAACCACGACCCAACAAGGGCAUUCGAGCUGCGACAUUUCCAUCUACCUCCAAGCACAGAAAAAGCACGAUCAGUGCAGCGGCUAUUGGUUACCCCAUUUCUCAAACUCAGACUAGCUUUUUGACAAUUAUCGAGACCUCUAUUGCCAAAAUACAUCACAACAGGUUUAGCAAAACUCGAAACAUUCCCACAACCAGAGAUAAAAGUAUCCAUAACAAGGUCUCCAGGGGCAGCCGUUGAACUAGAAACAGCCAUGGCUCCACUAAAAUUCCCAAAAGCUUGAGAAGACGGGCGCGAUAGAACACCACCACCACCACGUGUCUGAGAAAAUGCCUCAACGGCAGAAUGCUUGGUUCUACUGUAAGUAUAACAAGCCCCAAAUUUCUGACUUCUUUUUACUGUCAAAGAUUCUAUUAACUUGUGGGUUGGUGCUAGUUUCACUCUUAAACCUCUCUGAACCCCAAAACAAAAGGCAGAAUUCGGUUUGGGAAGCAACCCUGAUGACAUAUCCUAUUCCCCCUCAGCUCAACCCAAUUCGUCCAUUAGAUGAACUCCAAACUUAGCAAGUCUGCAUUGUGAGCCAAUCCCCUUUAAUCCUGAGAAACUUCACAUCCUACUCAACGAUAACUUUGCCUGCCCAAGCAGCAAUUUCCUGCUACCUGAUUACAAAAACAAUUGCAUUAUAAAAAGAUUCAUUCGUUUUUCCUUUUCUUCUACUUUCGCAAGAUGAAAAGAAAGAUACAAGGGAAAAAGGAAGGCAUGGGGAACCCGGGAUUUCGGCAAUUCGGGCUUGACUAGGGGCGGAUCGAGAAUGCUGUCUGGGGACAAAAUUAUCGUUGGAGAGAAGAACAGCCGAAGUCCACCGCUUAAUGGGGGCUAAUAUCGCAGUCAGUCUCAAAUUUCUAAGUUUGACGCCCACCAGCCCAAAAAACUGAAAAACGGACAAAAACGAAGCGGUGGCUCAGAAUGAAGCGGAAAUUGGCGUUUGGAUUUAUAUUGGUGAGUUUUUUGGGAAAUAUUAGUGUAGCGUGUACGUAAGAUAAAAAAAAAAAGUAAUUAAAAAAUAGGUAUAUAAAAAUAUUUACAAAAAAUCACAAUCCAAAUAAGGCGUAGUUUUUUAGUCCCUUUUUAAUAAGAAAUCAUGUCAAUUUUGUCCUAUCAAGUUUUAUUUUGAUUAAUGUAUCACAGCAUAGUUUAUAACACUGGAAGAAGAUGACCUUUUAACACUUUGACACUCAUAAAAAUUGAUAGUAAUUUUUGAAAAAAAAAAAAAGAAUUAAGAGGCAGUGUGUGAAUUGUCUAAAAUACAGCAAGUAUAUUAUUAUAGGGACCAGGGAGAGCGCAAAAUUGGAACUAGAGAUGUUAGUGAGCCGAGCUACUCGCGAGUAGCUCGCGAGUAGCUCGGUCAACAACUCGACUCGAACUCGAGUUGUUUCGAGUAGCUCGACUCCACAUCGAGUCGAGUUUCGAGUCUCAUUUUUCGGGCUCGUGGCUCGUCGAGUAGCUCGACGAGCCGCGUUAAAUAUUUAUAAUUUAAAUAAUAUAUAUUUAUUAUAAUUAUAAAAUGACUAUUAUGGAUAUAGAUUUUAUAGAAUUUACAAUAUACCCUUCUUUAUAAUAAAAUCCUAUAAUGGCAAAAAAAUAAUAACAUAAUUAUAAAAAACACUAAAAAGAAAAAAUGUCUACAAAAAAAAGGAAGAAAAGACUUUCUUCCUUCUCUGUGCGACUUUCUUCUCCGUUCGAAGAAAGCCUAGCAAAAAAAUUCACUUUACCAGCCGGCAGCCACUGACUCUGACUGAUUUAGAUCUACACCCUCACUCCGUUCGUCGCCGACGCCGUUGCUCGCCGCAUCUGUGAGACUCCAUCUCCAUCGCCAUCGCCAUCGCCAUCGCCAUCGCCUUAACAAGUCCCAAGUCCCAAGUCCGAAAUCGAAGCUGCUCUCUGCCUCUCCGGCCUCCGCCAGUCCGCCGCGCUCUACGUCUCCUGUCGGCUGUGUCCUGCCGUGCUGGUUCAUCGCUGCCGAGUGUCGAAGACGAAGCACCAAGAUCUCACUAGUUCAUCGCUGGUUCAUCACUGCUCAUCUCUGGCUCACUUAGGUAAGUGCUCCUCUGUUUUUGGCUCUGUGUCUCUGGCAUUAAAAUGGGCCAAGAUCGACUAGGAAACUUGUUAUCCUGAAUUGAUAAGGGGACGAAAUCUCUCAGAGACCCAGAGAUUUCAAUCCAUCUGCCAUUAUCCUAUUACUCUCGGCCAAAAAAAAUAAAAAAAUAAAAAAAAGAACCGACGGGAAACAGAGGAGGAGCAGCCGCCACUGCUGGGUCGUCGGAGUUUGCCCAUACCGCCACGGUUAUCCAAUUCUUCAUUUAAAACGCCCCGUGAGCUAUUCUUUGCUUUCCAACUUGAAUUUCAAUUUGAUAUUUUCUGGAACCAUCUUUUGCUAGUUUCUUCUUGAAUUUUUUUAAUCUGGAGUUAUUUACAAUUUUCAUGGCUGAGUAUACUCUUUGGCCUUUGUUGGACCGAAAUCGUAUUUUGAUUACAAGUUUUGGGUCUUUCUUUCGUUGGAAUUUGAUGGGAUCUUUAGAAUUUUCGUAUGCCCUUCUACUGUUUGAAGAAAUGCCUAAACGAGAACUUGAAAUAAAGAGACAAAUCUCUUGUAUCUGUGCUCGUGGGGAGCAGCUCCUAUCAGUCCAACGCUGAUAGGAGCCCGUGGGUUCGGCGGAAAUCCAUCAAAGACCCAGAGAUUUGCUAGUAAUAGUAUACGUCAUAUGAGGCAUCUGCGGAUUUCUAAGUAUUUCAAUUCUGUGGGCGCUCAAGAAGCGCCAAAUACCUGAUGCAGAUUUAGGAAUCGUGCAAUAUUUAUGUAAAUAAUUUUAAUUUGUGCUCUUAAAAAAAUCAGACUUAGGAUAAUGGUGUGCAAAAAUAUAGCUAAGACUGACUUCAAAAUCCUUUGUGUUAUGAUUUGACCAACUAGGUGUGAUGAAUUUGCCCAAAUUCGGAUUUGAGCAACCUCACAUGCUUGUUUGAGAUAAUUGUUUGUCUCUCAAUUUGGUGGCUCAGCUCAUGUUUUGCUGAGUUUUGAAAUUUUGUGGGGAAUUUUGGUUAGUUUGGGUACUUUUGCAGCACACUUAGGAACUAUGAUUCGAGGAAUUAGAAUCAUCCAUAUUUUCUGCUCUUGUGGGCACCUACCGUUGGUGGGUAAUUGCUGAAUUUGAAAGUUUCAUGUCAAGCAAUCCAGCAAGUGGGAAUUUCCCUUUUUUCUUCUCUAUUCUUCUUUGUGGUGAAUCUGAUUUUUAGGGGUGUUAAAGAUGCUAACUGUGGGAGGUAGAAUGUGGAUACUUUUGGUUGUAUUUGUAUUGAUGAAUCAUGGAUUUUAUGCCUCAUUUACUCCAGCUGAUAGCUACUUGCUUGCCUUUGAAUCUUCCCAAAACGUCACCUUUGAUCUGGUUUUUUGGUCAAAUCGAGUCAAAAAGCUUGAUAAGACUCGACUUGAUAAGGCUCGAUUAAAGAUCGAGCCUUAUCGAGUCGAGUCUCGAGCCUAAAUGAAAUUCUUCGAGUCGAUCUUCGAGUAUCGAUUUUCGGGCUCGAUCGAGCUCGAGUCGAGCUCGAGCUUCUGUGUGUAUGAGUCGAGUCGAGCUCGAGUAUAGCGAUACUCGAGCUCGACUUGACUCGAUUACAUCCCUAAUUGGAACACAAACGUGCAUUAUUAAUCCCCUGCUUGCAAAAUUGUCUUUUUGUUGUUCAUCCACAAUUCCCGACUUUUGUGUCCCCCAACCCAACUUUUGGACGACAUUAGGGGCUUAUUUGUGCAUGCAAAACUCGUGCACCAAGAUGCUAUCACUGUGCAAUAUAACAACAGGCCCUGUGACCUGUAACGCAAUUCCAAUUGUUUGAUCCUGCACCAGCGUGAUUGUGUGUUUUAACAGUAGUGCCGUUUGUAUUGUGAUUUUUAAAAAUUUUUAUAAAGAAAAAUAUUGUAACGAUUGGAUUUAAUAUAUAUGACUUAAAAUAAUAAUUAAAAAAUAUUAUAUAUAUAUAUAUUUUUUUUUUCUGUAAAAAAUCACAAUUCAAGCAAGGGCGCUUGACGUUUACAGUAAAACGUAAAAGUUUUACCGUGGAUGUACGAGAUAAAUGUUUUUUACACGCCACGUCGUGUUAGAAGCACGAAGAAGCGGAGGCUUUGGCUUGCCAUGAAUUGUUCGCAUGGAGUAGAGUAGAGUGGGUGACACGUUCCCUAUACUAUAGAGGCCGUGCUACUUGGCACGGAAUUCUGGAAUAAGUACAAAAGUUAAACCCCACUUUACUGCUCUGUGAAGGCCAAUAAUGUCUCUCACUCAUCCUGAUUACUCCUUUUACUCAAUCCGUCUGCUCUGCACAAAAACAACCACAAAAUUACCAUAUUUGUUUUAAUCAGGGCCCCCAUUUCUAUUUCACCGUUCCUAGCUAGAGCGGUUAAUCGAACCGAAUAGCUCGCGAGCCAAGUUCGAUCCGAUUCGAUAAGGGGUUCAACUCAGUUAGUUUAAUGAGAGAAAGGAGCCGAUCUCGAAUUCAACUUUACGCUUAUUUAAUAGAUGAGCCGAGUUAUGCUCGACUCGUUUAGGCUCGAAUGGUAAGAUCAUUUCAUUGUGUAUUUGAUAUUUUUACCUAAUUCAUUCUCUCAUUUCUAGUCCUACUUUUUUCUUUCCUCUUUCGGUCUUGCCCCUAAUAUUCAUCUCCCAAACGAGCUUGAGCUUAAUAAACUCGGCUCGAUUUUGAACUCGAGUUCGACUCGUUUGAACUUAAUAAACUCGGCUCAAUUUUAAAUUCGAGUUCGAGGUCGAACUCGAGUUUUCGAUCGAGUAUACCGAGUCGAUCUCGAACAGCUUGUGAAACUUGAAUUACUAAUCGAGCAAACUCGAACUAGCUCAAUUAGAGAUUCGAGUCAAACUCGAUUAUCGUGUGCUCGAAUUUGACUCGAUUAACAGCUCUACUCCUAGCUAUCUCUUACGUUUUUUUUUUUUUUACACCCGAUCCACAAGAAGACUAUAUAGUGUUGAGUCAAAAUAGUUAUCCGUCCUACAAAUGAGAUACUAGUUCAAGCUUGGAGUGCAGAAGCAAUUUCUUAUUCGUAGUCUCUAGCAAGUAAUGGAAAUAUGUUGAUGCUUCCACCCCCAAUGUACAAAAAUAAUUACUCCCCGGUUUUCUGGUUGAACCGUGUAGAAGAAAAAAUUAUUGGAGCUCAUGGGUAUGAUGUCAUAAAUAAACCAGUAGUAAUUAAUCUAAUCUGAUCUUGGAUUAUCAGUAACCGUACCGAAUACUGGACUAUUCACCAACAUUGUGGCCGAUUGCUUUUACUCCUAUCUUCUACUAUUAUACUCACAAAAGUGCCACCAUUUUAACAUCAUCUUACAUAUAUAAUCAAAAGUGUUUAAAAGGUCUCAGGACCUUUGGCUACUUAUAUUUCACGGAAAGGGUCUCUUCAACCUUGACAGGCAGCAGAACAAAUAUUAAAACCGACUCACUCUCACUGCCUAUACUGUAAUGCUUAAUUUUUUAAGGAGCAUCGCCGGGCCAAGAGUCGCUAUUUGCUGCUGCAAGACUAAUUGAUAAUAAAGCUCGAUGCCACCUCACAAAUCACACUUCCGAAAUGUCAACUAUGAAAGCCUUGACUUUCAUGAAAACAAAUGUUCUAAUUGUUGUCAUGAUCCCCUUCCCAUAUCUUUACCAGAGUACUCGCCGCUGCCACCAAAUGUUGCCGCUGCAGCAGCAGCAACAUCAAGGCCGCCACCAAUUGAUGUCAUUAAGGCAGAAAAUCCGCCUGAUGGGCCUCCACCAGCUGCCAUCCCCAAUCCAAGAAGGUCAAGGGUAGUAUGCUUGGGACCGAAUACAGAUGGAGUCCCCAACAUCAGUUCCUUCAAGCUAGACCCACCGUCACAUGGCAGCCCAAGUCCCAGGCCUGCUGCCAAUGAUGCACUAUCAGACUCAAUUCCCCUCCCACUCCACUCCUGCUGCCCGCUGGAAGCUGACGCCGAAGAAACAAUCCCGAACCCUCUCAGGAGUGAAGCAUUAGUUGCUGCUGCUCCAAUCUGAGCAGCUUUUUGCAGUAAUGCUGUUGCAGACAUGGCAGGUUGUGGUGCAGGCGCAUACUGCCUACGCUCUUGCCCUGCUGUUCCAAAAAUUGAUGAACCGUGACUUGUAGCAAGACAGAGGGAUAUGGGUUCCGUGGAAGAAGACGCUACGACUUCAGAUGCAUUCUCAGGACGAGCCACAGCUCUAAACAAGUCAGUAAAUUCAGGUGUUUGAGAUUGCAAGCUUGCCGAUGUUGUUGAUGAGGCAAAUAAGCUUGCAAACACGCUGCUGCUAGUACUUCCAUGACUGCUUGAGCUGCUGCUGCUACCACAGCUGCCGGUUAAGCUGGUCACAACAGAUGUUUCCUCUAGAAUCUGAGGUGGAGCGGGACUUUGCUUGGGAUUUUCAGGUCCCUCUGUUGAAUUAAACAAAUCAUAUAAAAAGAAUGAGCGAAAAAAAAAAAAGAGCAUUCCCUGGUAAAGAAGCAAGAAAUGACGAAAGUAUAACCUUUCUUAUUAAAGAGCUUUGUAUAUGAUUAAAAGAGAUUCAAUAAUACCCUCCUUUCUCGGCAUCAACUUAACUUUUAGCUUUUGGCUGGAUCUCUGUCCAUUCUUUACCAAAAGAUUGCUUAGAUUCAAUCUCAAUUUUUUAUUCAUAGUUGAGAUAUGGUUUUCCCCAAUUGAAGUUAGUAGUAGUUCAUCCUUGUUCUUAUAGCAAGGGAGUAAAUCUAGUCAACCAUAGAUGCAGAUAACAACAAAGAAGGGGAACAGACAAAAACAACUAGACUCCAAGAUUAAUAGACAAAGAAACAACAACAACAGUUUGCUUUUCUUUUCUUUUUUCCCGGCAAAAGUAUGAUAUACAUCCGACAAAACCCGGACUACAGAGCUACAUAACUACCCAUCAUCAGCAGUAGGUGGAGGAGGCUGAGCUACAAAUUGGCAGUUUCGAGCAGAAAUACCUGGAUUUUGAACAGGCAAAGCUGAAGAUACUAAAGCAGCUGGUGGAGGAGGCUGAACUGCUACCGAAGGUGGUGGUGAUGAGGAUGCAAGUGUUUGAAGCUUCGGCUCCUCAUCAUCAGCAGUAGGAGCUGGAAGUGCCUCAACUGUCUGUGCUUUUGCACUCUCCUCAGCUAAUGCAUCACAAAAAGCUCUGUGUGUAAUAAAGCUAUCCCUCCUGCAAUCAUCAAACAGACAUUAACAUCAUUCUUGAAAAUAAAAAGAAAAACAGAGGGAAAAAUUUAUCUUAACAAGGUAGGGAAAAGAUCAGUUAACCUUGAAAACAGAGUCCCACAAUCACAUUUAUAUUCUCUAGUUCCACAAAUCUUUGAAUGAGCUUUCCAAUCAGACUGAACAGCAUAUUUCUUCGAACACUUGUCGCAUUUCCACUUCUUUUCGCCAUGUUUUCUGCAGAAAUGCUUCUUAAUUCCGGUCAAAUCGCCCAAUGCUCGAGAAGGAUCGUGGUGAACACAGGUGAGUUCAGGGCAUACAUAAACUCUCUUCUUGACCUCUUUGCUCGAUCUCUGCCUAAGUUUCCAAGGCAAAUUAUGUCCUCUCCGAUGCAGCUGCAAAUUCUGGUCCCUUUGGAACCCUUUAUUGCAAAUUUCGCACACAAAUCUAUUUGUUGCCAACAGAGUCUUUGGUGACAAAGCAAUCACCUCUGCAUCCGGAUCUAAGAGAAAAACAAAAUGAAACUUCAGCAAUAAGCAAAAACAGAUUACCAGUCUUUUUAUGUUUUCCUUUCUGGCUCUUUUACCUGGCAUGCCUGGGAGAUUUCGUUUUUUCUUGGCAGAUGAUGUAGGAGGGGCUGCCGCUUGAUUGCCUGAAGAAGAAGCACUGGCAUCACCGGAAGCGGUAGAAUCAUUCAUGACAGAAGAGUUAUCCAUAUCGGCAGGCAUGGAAAGAGUACUGGAGUUGUUAAAAGGGAUUUUUAGACUGCUAGAAAGGGAAAUUUUGGGGCAUUUAUGCUGCAAAAAAACUUUUAGGAUAUAAAGCUCCUUUUUCGUUUCUACGGCUUAUGGUCACAGCACUCAGCUCUCAGACUUGUGUAUCUAUCCACCAGUCAAUCUAAUUUAAAAAAAAAAAAAUAUAUCGCCAACUACCAACUACGAUCAACUUUUGACCACGACCAGAUCAGAAAUGAGCUAAUUAGCAAAUCCCACUUCACAGAACCACCACCUGUAAGCUCUGCAGAUAACGGAAUCAGAGUCGCCAGAGAAUUAUCGCCGGUGAGCACGACAUGAGUAUCUUCAGCUAAAAGAAGAUGAAAUUUUGCUAUACUUCAUGAGGUUUCUAGAACAUGGACCUUAAAUCUAGGUAGCUGUUCACCUGUCUAAUAACCAGAAAACAUUUCAGCACCGAGCUUCUUGAAUUUCCGGUGACGUUUUCUCCGAUGCAAAUGCCGGAAAUUGGGCUGGGGAGCAGUACUUUCAAGAAGACGGCUCAGAAAACUAGAUGAAAGAGGAAAUUUAGGAGGGCAGAGAGAGAGAGAGAAGAAGAUGUGAAAGUCUUCUUGUGUUUGGUCUACAGUCGUGUAAUGUUUAGAUCAUAGAACAGGUAGCCGAUGUGGAUUUGAUUAAAGAAGAGCUAAUAAAUUAAUUAGAAAUCAUCAACAGUAAAUGGGGAGAAGGGCGAAAGAUAAUGACGGGUUAAGUUUUGUGGCUCACUUUUUAACCACGGUUUCAUUGUUGACCUGACCAUACGGUGUGGUAGAGUUUCAGUUAAAAACAGAAGAGUUUAAUGAUGGUGCAGAGUGCAGACUGCAACUCUGCUAGUGCUGCUCAAAAUGUUUUCGACGUGGGAUUGGGACACGUACGUUUAGCUUUCGAUAAAAAUUAGUGAUUAUUGUAGUGUUUUUUCAGAAAAAAAAAAAGAAAGCUAUAAUAAUAUAUUUCAGAAAUAUUUUAUUAGUGUAGUUUACAGAAAUAAUAAUAAUUAUAUUAGUGUAUAUUAAAUUAUGCAAAAACGUAUGGUAACCUUACAGUCAACCGCACCGAAACUUCAACCGCAUGUGUCUAGACCCUUUUGAUUUUUCUUGCCAUGGCCUUUACAAUUUUGACUUUCAAUUAUAAAUUUCUGCACAAUUUUAUUUUGUGAUAUAUAUAAUUUGUAUUAAAUUUUUAAAAUAAAUUUUGGUAAUUGUUUGUUUCAAUUAGGCUUUACGGUGUAUAUUCAAAGACUCUCGUUUAUUUAUUAAAAUUUAUUUACUUACAACAUCAAUACGUUUCUCAAUCAUUUUUUUUUAUCAAUGCAUUUUUUUAUGUACGAUGAAUAUAAAUGCAUUGUGGUCUCUAAGUUGUAGAGCGAGCAAAAGGGUUUUAUGCAGUAGCAAUUAUGUGCAAUUUGCACCGUUGAGUGCAACCUAUUGUUGAUUAAGAAAUCAGGACAUGUGUCAUAAGUAAUCAUCCCAUCCUCUUACUGAUUUAUGCCCUGCGUCCAGUCUCCAUUUCACACAUCCCCUGUAGCACCAAACGAACACAUGAACCUGGCUCUCUAAUUCCAUCUCGUAAUAAGUACUAAUAAGUUGCUUUAUUAAGACUAAUCGUCUAAUCAUCAUUCACCCUGGAGGUUUUUUUCCCGGUGAAAAAUGCCUUAUCCCACAAGAAAAGCAUCGAUAUCAUUGUUAGACUUUUGAUGAGUGAGACCGUCUUUCAUUCUUUUGCUGCUCAUAUUCUCUCCGUCAAUGCCAAGCUCUUCUAUCUAUAGUGAUAACAUCACGUUCUUUUCUUUAUAUUCUCUCUUCUUCUUUGUUUUUUUUGGUCCUUUAUUUUUCUUUUCCAUGACUUGCACAAGAGAAAAACCGAGCGGGAGAUGGAAUAGGCUGUGGGAAUCAAAUACCGGUUUGGAGAUCAGAGAAAUAAAACUCUCGCCCAUUGGGCAAUGCGUAGUUCUCUACUAUUUGUGAAUUUACCUGAGCAACGAAUACAAUUCACAAGAAGCAAGAUUAUGAAUUUAGCUGAAAUGAUGCACAAACAGGCCGCCCGCAUAUUUCAUGAAUUAUAGCUAAGCAUAAUCAUCACGUCAUGUUUGAUAGAGAAGAGUUAUUUCACUCAACUUACAAAAACAGAGAUUUUGUCGGAGAGAGAUUGACCAGUUUUUCGUGUUUACUAAACAGAAAACUAAUAAUACUCCUAGCAGAGAUGAAAAGCAAAGGCUAUACAUAGUCUGUCAAUCGAACCUAAUGAGCCGGGCUUUUAUAAACUCUAAGCUCAGCUCAUUUUAUUUGAAAUAUUUUCGAGUUUUCGGUUCAUAAAUGUGAAAUUCAUACUCAACUCGCAUAAUAUUCGGAUUGUGAGUCUUAAUCGGGUUUAGUCAAACCUCACUUAUUACUCCUUAAUUUUCUUAAUAUAAUUACUAUAACUAUUAAAUUGUAAAACUAAUUUAACAUUUACAAGACUAUAAUAUUAAAACUAAACAUGAACAAAUAAUAAUAUUUCUUAAAAAGUGUAUAAACCAAAUUUUUCAACAAUAUUUAUAUUUAAUUCGUUCAGAAUGCAUGAAAAAUAGUAAUUAAACAAUCAAUCAUAAGUCAAUACAUAUUUAAAAGUUGAAACUUUUUUUAUAAUCUUGUGAUUUAAAUCCAAAUAUGCUUGAUGAUUUGUGUUUGUAGACCAAAAAGAAAUCAACCAAUAUUAUGUCAACACAAAAAUUUACUCAAACCAAUAAGAAAAGUUAGAGAUUUAGUUAUGCAUUACUAAUAUUGGUUCUUAAGAAAGCUCCUGGAAGAGUUUUUAGAUUUAUUUUUGUGUUUUGUAAUUUAUAUAUAUUUAGUAUUUAGUAAUAAUAUAUUUGAAUAUAUAAUUAUACAUAAUAUUAAAAUAUAAAUAUUAUAUAUAUAUAGGUAAUUAAAGGGACGGGCCUAUAUCGGGUUUGAACCUAAUAUAGCACAAACUUGGCUCAUAUUUAAUUCGGACCUAAUUUUUUAGGCUCAAGCUCAGACUAAUUCACUAAAAUGUCGGGUUCAUCGGGUUUUUUGUUGGGCCAAAUUCGAGUUGACCCAACCCCAUUAAAACAGUCCUAGCUAUACACUUUUAACAGAAGUGUUUUUUGAGUUGAGAAUCGAAAAUAGAUCUAACGAAGUUCAAUUAAGAAACAUUAGGGUCCAAUUAUUGUUUGGAUAUUGGUUUUUCCCAUAAAAUUGUUUACCUUUUUUGUGAAUACAUCUCUCAAUCACUUUUUUAUUUUACAUAUAUCAAAUUAUUGCAAUACAAUUUUUUUAAAAAAUUAUAAAAAUAGCAAUCCAAACGGGAGGGCGGCCCCAUAGUUUUAGUACAAUUAUCAAUUAUACUAAAGUACACUUUCAAUAAUUAUGCCAAAAGAUAGUAAAAAAUAUAUGUAUAGUGAUCUUUUUGUUCCUUUACUUAUUGUUCUUAAUAAAAGAAUUGAAAUCAUUGUCAAAAAAGAUGAGGGACGAUCAUAUAAAUUUGAGUGACCUAACACUCUAGUUCAAUUAAAAUUUAACUAAGCAUACUCUUAGUAGUGCUAAUGGUAUCAUAUACCACGUUUUGAUACUUUACCUGUAAGUCUUUCUUGCCUUCAUUCAGCUACCUGGGCUAAAACAUCGUCUAGCUAAUAUCGACCGGGUCUUUGCGUUCACAUCACUAGCAUUGCUUGAUGCAACUGGUAGCUAAGUUCCAUCGAUUUGAAUCGGACCGUGACCGACCUUAUCCUUUUCUUGUCGGGCAAAAAGAUGUUGAAAAUAACGCCAGAGGAAUCGUACCUUAUUUGUGCUACUUUGUUUAGCAUUUAGGAAAAAUAGGUUAAAAUGUUUUCCACAUUUCACCAAUUAAAUUUUUUUACGUAUCCUACAAAAUCAAGUUGAUAAAAUGUAAUUACAACUUAAAUUUCGACUACUUUUUUAUCACCAAAUCCAUCAUGUGACUCACACAACAUAUGGUCUUAUUGUUUUAGGAAUAACAAAAGGUUAGAUCCUAUUUGUAGUUAAACAAAUGAUUUGAUUCAUAUUCAUUUUUAUUUCUAAAAAAAUUAGGAUCCAACAUGGAUCAUAUUCAUUUUUUCCCUAAAAAAGGGAUGUGAUUCAAUCCAUAUUGACUUUUGCCAUUAAAAAAAAGUAGGAUGUUAUCACAUUGUAUAUAAAAAAAUAACUGCAUGUAGGUCGCAUGAUGAUUUUAGACUAAAAAGUGAUAAAAAAAACUUAGGUUGGGAUCUAAUUUUGCUAACUUGAAUUCGUAAGAGACGUAAAGUUAAUAUUUUAAAUGUAAAGAAUGAAAAAAUUAAUGUAAUAAAAUAUAAGGGAUGUUUUGAAUAAAUUUUCCUAGCAUUUUCUUAUACUAAAUUUGCUUCAUCAAACCAAAAUAAGCUAGAAUUAGAGAAAUGAAGACCAACGACUGUGUAUAAAGAUGUGGCUCAAAAAAAAAAGGGAAGAGCUUGCUGCUUGUCAUCCGGAAAUAAGUUAGGUAUAAUUUUGCCGAGUUUAUUUUUGGAUUUUUGCUGUCAUUUCCACCUGAAAUCCCUACCACCAACUAGGGUUGCAAACGAAUCGAGCCGCUCGCGAGUCGAGUUCGAUAUUAAUCGAGCUCGAACUCGAGCUCAGAAUAUUAAGCUCGUUAGCUCGCGAGCUUGAGUAUAUAUAUAUAUAUAUUUUUUUUUAUUUUUAUUUAAUAAUAAAAUUACGUAUAUUAUAUAUAUAUAUAUUUUUAUUUUUUAUUUUCAUAGUGAAAUUACGGAUAUAUUCUUAAUAUUUUAUUAUUUAUUCAGAAAAAAUAUUAUUUUAUUUAUUUUUUUUAAAAUAAAAUAAUUUUUUAUAUUUUUUUCGAGCUCGAGCUCGAGCUCGGCUCGACUUGAUUCGAGUCGAGCUUGAGCUCGAAAAUUGCCAGCUCGUCGAGCUCGAGCUCGAGUUUGGUAAAAUUUAGUCGAGACUCGGCUCGAUUAGCUCAAAACUCGACUCGGUUCGGCUCGUUUGCAGCCCUACCACCAACAACCGUAAAUAAACGCGCACACAUACACUAUCUAAGGGAAACGUACAACUCAACUCAAAAGGCAUGUUGACUUUCAGGCCACACUGAGAACCUUAAGUAGUACAUACACACACCACUCACAAUCGAUGUGGAAUAGAGGAAAAGGAGGAGGAGAAACACCACGACUAUUGCCCAAAGGCUCACUUCAAAAUGUGUUUUUGUACCAUUCUUGAUGUCUGUGUUGAAUUUCAAAAUUCAGAAUGACAAGUUUUUCCCACCUGAAAUCCCUGCCACAAAAUGUGUUUUUCUACUUUUUCCUGAUGCCUAAGUUGAAUUUCAAAAUUCAGGAUGACAAAAAAUUUGUUUUUUUUUUGAUGUCGUAAAAUUGGUUGAAAUUAAGGCCAAGCCUGUUACUGAUUGCUGUUUUGAGGAUACAGUCUAGCUAUUAAUGGUUACAAUUUACAUCUACUAAUCAUUUUCCGAUAACUGGUUUACAUUUUGCCUUACGUUUAUAUAUUUUAUUUCUUCGUUAGUACGUAUUAUUUAGAAGUUCAAAACAUCUACAGUAAAGCUACUUGUAGUGCUUGAUUGUCAUCAUUGUCCAUUACAUUUCCAAUUUUCUUCUAAUUUGACAUUUCGAACAUUCGGCCAAAAAAAAAAAAAAAAAUCACCCUUGAUGUUCUAAUCACUUAUGUCUAUUGUCUAAUUUUUAUUAACAUAUUAAACAACCGUUCUUUUUUUUUUUUUUAAUAAAGAAGAUCAACAGUCCAGCAACAAGGCGUCAAGAUAGAAGAUGGCAACGAUACGAGGUCCGGCGAACUUUGCAACUUUAUAAGACUAGUACAAUAGAGACCUUUUGCUGUUGUUUCAUUGUGAUUCUUUUGCUGAGUUAAUUUGAUGUUUUAGUUUCCUUAACCAAGAUGGCAUGCCAGUAAUUGAUUUGACUUGACAUUCAAUAAAAGGGGUUGGCUGAUCUCAAAAGCUUCAAGGCUUAGAAAGUUUACUUUUAGUUUCAAAGGAUGGAGGACCACCUCAAUAAUCACGAUGCUUCUUCUUCUUUUUCUUUUUUUUUUUUUUUUUUAUAAAUAUAUGUACGUAUAUAAAGUUUUAGCCUCCCAAAAUAAAGAGAAAAGGAUCCCGGCAUACUUUCUUUUUGUUACCUGGAGCCUGGAGGAUAUGCCUGCAGUAGCAUUUCGGCUAUGCAAAAAAGUCAAUGACAAUUCAAGAAAAAAAAAAAGUGCAAUUGCGAAUAUAGGAAUGAUGCAGAUAAUUGAACAUAUGGCAUUUGUUCUAUUCCAGGAUGACAAAGAUCUUUAGGUCCCAAGAAUUUAGAAAUUACACUUCAUUUCCUUAAAGUAUUAAAGAGUUUUAUUUACUAUAUAUUUGUAAAAAAAAAAAAAAAAAAAAGAUUUUGUGCCUGAAAAGCAUCCUAAUUAUCAGAGUUGAAGGAUGGAGUCCUAAUAAACUAAUUAUUAUUAUUAUUAUUAAAAUCAAGAGUAAAGUUAUAAACACGGUAGAGAAGAGAGUUGCAGGUUUUAGACUCGUGGUGGUCAAGAUGAGAAAGAAAUGCAAAAAGGAACGCGCUGUGCCGUCAAAAUUCAAAAUUAAAAGAAAGGACAAAUGAUCGAGUUUGAAGUACAAAAGCCAAAGUCUACUGUAGCGUAGUUUCUUAUUAUUAUUUUUUUUUUAUAAUAAAAAUAAGAAACAAAAACGUACGAGUGCUUUAUAGUAAUAAUAUUGCAAAACGCAGUACUGUAAAAAGUUUCCUGAUUUCACUUCAGAAAGGGUGCACGUUCUCCGACGUGUCUCAGAAAAUUUUUUUUUUUUUUUUUGGUUGUUGUUGUUGUUAGCAACUUAGCAUCAACUAGUUUCCAUGCUGCUACUAUCAUACAAUGUUUGCUUUCCAUAUUUAUCAUGAAGAAAUACGUAGCAAGUAAGAAAAUCACCGGCGACUCUCUCUAUGGAACACAAGAAAAAAAAAGCAAUUUCUCAUACUUUCUCUUCUCUUAUCUCCAUUUCCUACCACCCAAACGCUCCGAGGCCUAUGGUAAAAUAAAACCAAAAAGAGUAUAAUAAACUAGAGAGCGAAAUCAUCAUCAUUUAGUAUAGGACUCUAUGCCAUGGUAACACCCACAAAGCCGGCACAAGACUUCUCUCAACAUCCACAUAAUUAAUUGCAUUGACUUGGAACGCAAUUGCUUUACCCUUUUUUUCUUUCUUCCUUCUCUCUUUAAAAGAAUUUGUCAUAUAUAUAUCAAACUUGUUAUCAUGCUGGACAGAAAUGAUGGCCUAGCCAAGUUGGAUUUCUAGUGCAGCAAGGCACUCGUUCUCUUUAUUCAAAACUCAAAAUAGGAGGAGAGAGUAUCGCAGGGAACCCUUUUCCUUUUAACUCUCCCAGGAGAGUAUCAUAUGGAAUGGAACGCCGAUCUUCGACUGAAGGCCAAUUCAUUCCAAAAAAAAAAAAAAAAAAAAAUUUUUUUUUCCCUUAAAAAAAAAAAUAUUUAAUAAAAGCUUUUGGGGUGGGUAGGAGAUGAUAGGUUGGUCUCAAUCGAUGAGAGGGGUCGAUCACAUUAACCACCACGCCACACCAGCUGAACAAUUUCUGAGCAGAACACAUGCAUUCAAUGCAUGGACAGGCGGGGCGUCUGGCAGUUGACCAGGGAUGCUGCAGCAGCAGCUUGCAAUGCAAUGCACGACUCCUUCAGUCGCCAUGCCAUGUACGGGACACGGGACAUGACGAUGCCGAAGCCCUUACCUGCGCGAGGCAAUUCAAAUUUCAAGUUUGAUGAUGAUGAUUAAUUUCCCAUGGACAAGUUUGAUUUUUUUGCUUCUACAAUGACAGAUCGCAGAUUUUAUUUAAUGUUUUGCUUUUCCAUCCUGUCCGUACUUUACUCUCUGCCCCUAUCACACUCAUUUUAACGCCGAGGAAGAUUACUUACGCAUGAUUAUAUUAGGAACCAAGAGGAAGAAGAG
Molecule: long non-coding RNA, 20251 nt
Filed under: Coffea arabica (coffee)
Lineage: Eukaryota; Viridiplantae; Streptophyta; Magnoliopsida; Gentianales; Rubiaceae
Description: long non-coding RNA (CARA_LNC004893)
Source: RNAcentral